CCAUUGGUAGUUCAGGUAGAAUUCUCGCCUUUCACGUGGGAGACCCAGGUUUGAUUCCUGGCCAAUGCA
This 69-nucleotide transfer RNA is filed under the name Loxodonta africana (African savanna elephant). It matches the Rfam family "tRNA". Rfam says of the family: Transfer RNA (tRNA) molecules are approximately 80 nucleotides in length. Their secondary structure includes four short double-helical elements and three loops (D, anti-codon, and T loops). The record is from Rfam by way of RNAcentral. Lineage: Eukaryota; Metazoa; Chordata; Mammalia; Proboscidea; Elephantidae.